UGGAAGUUGAUGUUAUCAUCAAAUGGGAUGAGCCUACCAAGAGCAGUUGAUCUGAGCGUUGUAAGGGUGUUUCGACAAACAGGGAGGAGAAUGAGUGCCAUGUUCAGUUUCAGGGUCUCUGCUGCACCCUUGGCUACACACACGCAAUAGCCCAUCACUUCAUAUGCUGAUCUCCGCCUGUACUGGUAAAAUUUCCAUAUAAAUAGUGCUAUGUUCAGUAUCAGCCAUAGUGAAAGAACCCAAAUCCUCCUCCAGUUCUCAUGAACGAAAUCUGCUGUCUUGCUGACACUUCUGUUGAUUGGGUUUCUGUACUGCUUUGGUAUCAUUGUUCUCGCAAGGCUAUGACUACGUUUGACUGUUUUCUCAUUUCCCUGUGAGCUCACCAUCCCUCGCAGUAAUGUCUCAAGCUGCCAGAUCUGGUGAAAUGAUUGAGAAUGGUUUCUCGGUACCUCAAUAUAGCCAAGAUGGUCAGGGUCUAGUUCCUCCAUUAUGAGAGCAGCAUAGGUUGCAGCAUGCCCCUUGAGUUUUGCAAGUUUGUUUGCCGAGGCACUCAAAAUGAUGACCUUUGGAUGAAGACACAGAUCGGAAUCAAUUUUAUUCGAAAUCUUAAUUGAUAAAAGCAAUUCUUGACAAGGAAUUGACAGGAAUUCAGAGGGCUUAAGCUGCAGACCUCUUUGACCUCAUCUUCUGUAAGUUUUCCAUCCCCAUUCUUGUCACACCUAAUGCAACAGAGCAACUUACAUCAGGUAAUUACUGUGUUGUCAAAGUGCUGAAAAGAGAAAGGUAAGGCAUUAUUACAUGUCAAAGAAUAUCCGUAGCCGGGAAUCAAAGUUUUGGUCUGUCAUCUCUUCCCAGAACUCCUUUAAUUCAUCUACUGUAAUUCCGUUCUCCGGUUCCAGGUUCCUCCGUCUUGCUAGGGUAACAAAAAGCUCCCCAGCGAACUCCUUGGAAUCAGCCAUCCCUUUCAAAAGGAAUUCAGCUUGAAUAUUAGAGCCUCAUAACUUCGUGCCUAGAUCUUUUACUUCCAGUUCUCCCUACUUUCACUAUUAUUUGUUUGGAAUGGAAAUUUUGCCAUGCAAACAUUAGUUAUCAUUGGUAUUGAGCUAGAGAUGCUUAUGUAAUGCUCGAUUAAGAUCCUUUUCUUCUAAGAAAUGCUCUUGAUUUUUGCAUUGCUUAAUAUAAAUUUCCAUAUCAGUCAAAUCAAAUGGACACUGGUUCGCAAAUCUACUUCUUAUUCAAGUGGUUAUGAUCUAGAUGUUUGUAGUUUCAGUGUCUCUUCUGCCAUAGUAUAAGAAUACAGGAAGCUGCGCUGGCAUUGAUGGACCAAUAUCAGUGAAGGACCUCAGAAGUGCUGAGAUGGUGGGUGACCUUUUCUUUCCAUUUGAAAUACUGAGAAAGAAGAAGUUUUGCUCGAGGAAGCAAAGAGAGACUAACCAAUGCAGCGCCCAAAAUUUUCCUUGGGUAGCCUUCCAUUGAUGGCGAAUUGGUCGAACCGCUUCUCCACGGCCUUCCACCCAUUCUCCUUGCCGCCUGCUGUUUUAUCGAGAAAACGAAGGCUCUUGAGCCCCAAUUCUGCACUGGAUUGCAUCCUCCGCAUGGCCUUUCCCAUCGGGUUCCUCACUGCCCGCGGUGAGAGCCGUUUUAUCUCCUCCUUGAUCUUCAAGGGCUGCGACAUCAGUAUCCUUGCAAAGCUUCGCUGUGGUUCGGGUCUUGGAGGUUUUGGGGCUGCUGAAUUGUGCACAAAUGGGAUCGCCGGAGCUGAUCCGUUGUCCAUGCUGUGAAUGGCGACGCUCUCGAGCUCAUGUGCUGAAGGAUUGGCUGGCGGCACAACAGCAUAUUCAUGUGAUGAUCCCAUUUUCUUAAUCCUUAUUGGUACUUACAGAGCUCAGGAGAAUUCUCUCUAUGGAGGUGUUGCAGGCUCCAUGGAUGGAGAGAGAGAGAAACGGUCAAAUAGAGAACCGGGUUUGGGCGGGUGGAGGAUGGUUAGAAGGAAGGGGUGAGGGAAAUUAUAGCCGUUAUUGGUGGGGCUCAUCGCUGCGGUGUAAACAACACCAACCUCGAACACUCGCAUAUAGAAUAAUAUGCGGAUCCAGAUCUGUCGUCCAUGUUUCCCACUUUAAAGCAUCACGUCCGUAGAUAAUUGGCGUCCUGCUCGCAGACGGUGCAUUUAUUAUCCGCACAGAAUUCCCUAUGCAUGUAUCCGUUGUCUGCCGUAGCCGAAAGAGAGUUGUUGGGUGGUUCAUCUCGCUUUCGCCAUCUCAUGUCCCGAGAUCUCGUUUCUGCAUCUCAUCUACAGUGAUUUUUAGCCGUCCGAUCUAAUUCAAAAAAAAAAAAAAAAGGUGUUUGAGCCCACGACGUGGACCUUCCACCCGACGACCCUUUCGUUAGCUGGAUUCAGCGGACGUGAUGAUGCUCUCUGAUUAGGUGGUCCUAGCGAUCUCCACCGUUAUUUCGUACAGAACCCUUGUGACAUAUUCCUUUCAUGUCACGUAAAGGUCGUGCCAAACUUGUACACAACGAAGGCCCAAAGGAUGCUUAUCAUUUGUUACACCCAGUGGCUAGGAAAUGCUUUGGAUGUAUCUCUUUGAGAACACAUUUCUCCGCUAUACAGUGGAUUGCAUGCAUGGAUGACAUUUGAGGUGAACUUUUUAUUAAAAAAAAAGAGAAAGAUGUUGAGGUGAACUUUUUAAAAGAGAGGUUUAUCGUUCCUUCUAAAUCUGUUGUGGUGAUCACUAUCAACUUGAUCAAUUGUGUCGGACCAUCGGAGGGUGGUACAGUGUCUUAAAAUGAUUUUCAGUGGCAUGGAUCAUAUGUUAUGCUUUAAGUUCAUUGUGCUCAUGACUAUCAAAGGCAUGUGGAUCGUAUGGUAUGCAUUAAGUCCAUUUCAAACUUUGUCAA
Non-coding RNA from Phoenix dactylifera (date palm), 2898 nucleotides. NCBI's taxonomy places the organism in Eukaryota, Viridiplantae, Streptophyta, Magnoliopsida, Arecales, Arecaceae. The record is from RefSeq and is a predicted model, not a curated record.